RNAcentral lists this transfer RNA (73 nucleotides) under Bacteroidales bacterium. RNAcentral describes it as "tRNA-Thr". It matches the Rfam family "tRNA". Rfam says of the family: Transfer RNA (tRNA) molecules are approximately 80 nucleotides in length. Their secondary structure includes four short double-helical elements and three loops (D, anti-codon, and T loops). Further hydrogen bonds mediate the characteristic L-shaped molecular structure. tRNAs have two regions of fundamental functional importance: the anti-codon, which is responsible for specific mRNA codon recognition, and the 3' end, to which the tRNAs corresponding amino acid is attached (by aminoacyl-tRNA synthetases). tRNAs cope with the degeneracy of the genetic code in two manners: having more than one tRNA (with a specific anti-codon) for a particular amino acid; and 'wobble' base-pairing, i.e. permitting non-standard base-pairing at the 3rd anti-codon position. Lineage: Bacteria; Pseudomonadati; Bacteroidota; Bacteroidia; Bacteroidales. The record is from RNAcentral.
GCUGCAGUAGCUCAGUUGGUAGAGCGCAUCCUUGGUAAGGAUGAGGUCACCAGUUCAAAUCUGGUCUGUAGCU